Molecule: unclassified non-coding RNA, 975 nt
Filed under: Hevea brasiliensis (rubber tree)
Lineage: Eukaryota; Viridiplantae; Streptophyta; Magnoliopsida; Malpighiales; Euphorbiaceae
Source: RNAcentral
AAAAAAUAAAGCAAAUGCGCUUAGAGACUCAACCCGCUAACACCUUCCGUUUCCUAUUCACACGUUCUGGUUCCUGUCAGGCACCGGAUCCAAUUCCGUUCCAAAUUGGUUUUCCCUUUCCUUUUUUUUCCCAGGACAUUUCCCGGAUAAAUAAAAACCCCCAACCCAUACCCCUUCUCCUCAAUCACCAAUUCUCAAAAAAUCUCAUUCUUAGCUAUUAUUUUUACUCCAAUCGAAAUCACAAUGGAUGUUUCUGUCAUUGCCGAUACUGUAACCCUGGCCACGCAGCAAGGAGUAGGGUUUACGAAUCCGCUACUCCACCGACAAAAUUGCAUCUCCAAUAGCAACCUUGCUCUCUCCGCUAGAUUCCUCCAAAUCUCCGUGGUUAUUUUGGAAGCACUAGCUCCUCCGCCGGUCAAAUCAAACCCGCAUAAAACCGCUCGCGGGACUCUUCUUCGCAAGAAACAACGGACGAGGCGGAAAUCGUGCAGCAGCGGAGGCUACGAGGAUGGCGGCGAGUAUGCUGGGUUUUGGGGUGGUGAUGGUGACGGUGACGGUCCGUUUGGUGGAGCUGGUGGAAGUUGGGGUGGUGGCAGAGGGUGGAAUUCUGACAGAUUUGGAGGGCAAAGUUGGGACGAGUCAUCGUGGUCGUCAUCAUCUGAGUUUGCUUAUGGGUUCGUUUAUGAGGUGAUUUAUUGGAUUGCCUUGUCGACUUGCAUGCAAUUUGCGUUCGAGAAGGUUGUGAGGAUCAUGACCGAUGGAAUCGGUGAUGCUGAGAGGGAGAAGGUUCCUAUGAGAUUGACUUCCGUUUGCUAAAUUGGUAAACGAUAUUGCAAAUUUAUGAAUGAAGGGGAAUGAAUUGGGAUAAUAGACUUAGUGUAUUUAAUUGGGAUAUCAUAUCAUAUGCUAUUUGCUCCGACUUUCCUUUCACAGAUAAUGCAAAUAUCGUAUAUAUGUUCAUCUAAAAAAAAAAAA